This 81-nucleotide small RNA is filed under the name Klebsiella pneumoniae. RNAcentral describes it as "partial RtT sRNA". It matches the Rfam family "RtT RNA", at positions 52 to 130 of the family's 130-position model. Rfam says of the family: This family represents a bacterial cis-regulatory element known as RtT RNA. The exact function of RtT is unknown although it is thought that it may be involved in changing the cellular response in relation to amino acid starvation. The record is from RNAcentral. Lineage: Bacteria; Pseudomonadati; Pseudomonadota; Gammaproteobacteria; Enterobacterales; Enterobacteriaceae.
GCGAAGCGAGAGAACGUUGCCGCAGGCAACGGCCCGAAGGGCGAAGCGCUUUAGCGCCGAGUAAUCCUUCCCCCACCACUG